RNAcentral lists this long non-coding RNA (754 nucleotides) under Vigna radiata. Its description in RNAcentral is "long non-coding RNA (VRAD_LNC017413)". Lineage: Eukaryota; Viridiplantae; Streptophyta; Magnoliopsida; Fabales; Fabaceae. The record is from RNAcentral.
AGCAUGCUGAGUUGCCAAAAUUGCAGCAGAACUAAGUUCUGGUAUGGCGCUCAAGCGCCCUCCACCUAGGGGCGCCCCCGCGCGAUGUGCAGCACAGCUGCCAAAGUUCUGCAGAACCUGGUUCUGAUAUGGCGCUCAAGCGCCCUUCUCCCAGGGGCGCCCGGGCGCGCGACCUGCUGUUUGGGCUUGGUUGCACUGUGCUUAUCUCACAUCACUUCUUUUAACCCUAUGCACUCCCAUUUCACCCCAGAAAACCCCAGUCACGCCUCUUGUUCCUCCGCAGGCCGCUCCAAACUCUCUUCUCUUCAUCUUUCACUUUGCAAAACCCAAAACCUUCAUCAACCCUAACUUAAUCUUCACCACCACAAACUCCCUCAACUCACGCUCUUCUUCAAUUACAAGCCACCCAAAACCUAAUUCUUCAACCUACACACAAUUUCCCCAAAUCAAUCACACUUUCACUCAACCUCAUUGAUUACCUCGUCACCCCCCACUCAAAGGGUUUGAGUUGCGGCUGCUGCAACAUACCAAGGACCCUCCCUUUCUGCCCUAAUUUUCACAUCCCAAGUUCUUCGCCCCUUCUUCCCACUCAAGUAGGUUUUCGUUUUCUUUUGCACCGCUAGGAUUUUCGACUGUGCUAGUUUCAACUCUAUGCCAUGUGUGUUGUUGUUCACUGUUUUACUCUUUUCUGGUUGAUUUCAAUUGAAUCUUGUUUCCACUGCAUUUUGAAUUGUUGCACUUUUGAUCCUUCUUG